Long non-coding RNA from Ziziphus jujuba (common jujube), 4818 nucleotides. RefSeq lists it as uncharacterized. Lineage: Eukaryota; Viridiplantae; Streptophyta; Magnoliopsida; Rosales; Rhamnaceae. The record is from RefSeq and is a predicted model, not a curated record. The transcript has 4 exons.
AUUGAGCGCACAACAUGGUUAAGACAAAAUAGAGGCGCAUAAUAUAGCAAAAGCCUCGUGAAACAGCAAGAUCAAAUUUUUAUGUGUUAUACAAAAAAUAUUCUAGCUCUAAUAAUUGCAUAAAAUAUAGUUGUUGUUUUGGAGCUUGCUUUCCCUUGUAAUUCUCGAGGUCCUAAUUAUAUUCAACUGAGCAAUGGCAAAGUUAAUAUAUAUAGAGAGGGCUAGGAUCCGGUCCGACCUGAUCAGUUUUUAUCUGAAUUAAAAACGUGAAAUUUUUUCUGGCCGCUUGAUUAAAAAUGAUGGUUCAAAUUAGAUUGUCUUUUCUACCCCAUUUCCUGCCCAUCUUUGAUGCCAUCUCCCACCUUCUCUCCUCCAAUUCCAAGUCACCCACCACCACCACCAACACCAAACAACCCUCUUCUUCCUCAAGAUCUACUCCGAACCAAUUUUUUGGCGGCCAAAAAAUUCAACCCCAGCGUCUAUUCACCGAAGAAGACGAAACCCAUCUCCUUCAAAUCUUCUACCAUGUCAGCAAACCAUCACCUCCUUCAUCCUCCAUCAAUUCACCCAACUUGAACCGCAUCAAAAAGUCUCUGGAACUCAGAUUUAGUCACACCUAGAUCAUUGACAAGCUCCUUCUUCUAGACCACGAUUCAGAGGUUUAUAAGAUUGCAAGCAAGAUCUGGGGGAGGAAAGGUUUGAACUCUCGAGGUGGCAAAAUAGAAGAAGGGAAGGAAGAGAAGAAAGAAGAACAGAGAAAUGGUGAUGCGGGUUUGGAGGAGUUUCUGGUCCUAAAGCACGAGGUUUUGGGUUUUGCAGCGAAAUGUGUUCUGGAAGAAGGGGCUAAUGGCUUUGGAAGAGAAAACAUUGGAGGGUUUGAAUGAGAAAUGGAUGUUGCUGAAGAUGGAAGAAGCUGAGGUCAUGGCUCAGAGAGCAGAGCUAGAGAAAGAGGUCGGUGAUUUGGUUGUGAGGGCUUUUUUAGCCUUCAAAGAGUAAAUGAUUUUUAGGGUUUUUAUUUUAUUUUAUUAGAGUCGAAGAAAGAAUUGUAAUGUAGAGUACCAAAUAUUUUCGUGGUAAUGAUUUAUGAAAUUUUAGUGCUUUUGGAUUCAUUCUAUUAUUUUUUUUAUUUAACUUUUUGUUUGCCAAAUUUGCCAAUAAAAGAUGAGAUGAAAAUUUGAAAAACAAUUGAAAUCGACUGGGUGAAAUCGAGAUGAAAAACAAUCUACGAAUUGAAAUCGAGAACCAAAUAACAAUUAAAUUCAAAAAAAAAAAAAAAUCCAACAAAAAGCAGCUCUGGUGAAGUUGUAGAAGCUAAAGGCAUACUUGAUCAAAGAGAGUGAGUGAGAGAGAGAGAAGGCAGAUGGGUAUGCGAUCAAAAAUGGAUGGGAAAGGAAGGAAAUGGGAAGAGGAAAUCUAAUUUGGACCGUUAAUCUAAUCGAACGAUUAAGAAAAUUUUCACUUUUUUUAUCCGGAUAGAAAUGGUCAGGAUGGACCGGAUCCUAGCCCCUCUCAAUAUAUAUAUAUAUAUAUAUAUAUAUAUAGGGAGUCUACCAUGAGGGACAUCCACAUGGGUUAUGUGCGGUCUAAACAUGUGAGGCAAUUCCGUGCCCUUCGAUUUGCAUUUUUGGCAUCAACGGCCCUGGACAAAAAUUGCUCUCACGUACGAAUUUUGGCCAAAUCUCCCAUUUCUGGUCUCUUCCCAUUCGCAGCUUCCUUACUCUUCUCCUCUAUUCCAGUGACGUUGCAAGCCACAAAUGCAAGAGUAGAAGGUUGAAGGUUGUAAGAAAUUUCCACCCUUCUCAACCCACCGUUCCAGCCAGCACUCGGGAUCCAACCACCAUUCCAGCCAACGUUCGCAAUCUAGCCGUACCAGCCCCACCAUUUUUUGUCUUCAAGUUCCAUCGGCCAGCCCGCUAUUCUCUGUAUGUUUUCUUAUCCUCAUUUCUUUUUUUCUUUUUCUUUUCUUAUUUGUUUUAGAGAACCUAAUUUCCAAACUUUUACCACGAAUUGCUUAGAUGGGAAGCCGAUGGGAAUUGUUUGUCUUGUUUCCAGAGAAUAGUUAUCUUAGGUCAGAGUUUGAGAUUAGUUGUGUAAGCAUGUCAACAAGUACUAGUGAUGUUCAACCUAUCCGAAUGUGCUCAUGUGGGCAAUAUAUGCAUUUAAAAACAUCGAGGACAGAUAAGAAUCCAAAUCGUCAAUUUUGAAAAUGCUUAGAUGGAGAACAGGUCAUACAUAAUUAUUAAUGAUUUAAAUUUUCAUUUAUUUCUGCUUAUAAAAUUAAAAAAUUAUAUAUGUUUAGUUGACACAGGAAAAAUGAUGUGGUAAAUUCAUUUGGGCACAAGACGGGGAAGCUAAACGAGACAAAAUAGAUAUACUUAUCAGUGAAGUUCGUCGUUUAUCUGUGCAAGUGGACAAAUCUAAUGAUAUGCUUGAAGCAAUUCAGAAAAAAACUAAGAGGAGCGACCAAAUUGACGUUAAGACUUUUAUAGUUCUUGUUCUUUUAUUAUUUUUUUUCUUUAAAAUGUUUGCGUAGUGAUGUAGUCAAGUAAUAUAUGUGUCUGUUUGGUUGGUAAACUAAUUUGUGCUUGCUAAGCACCAUAUGUAUCCUAUUCAGCUUGCUACUUGUGUUGUUGAAAUUGUCGGUUACAAUUAUAUAUGAAAUAUGACUUUUCAAGUAUGUUGAACUAUUUGGGGAUUGAAUCGCAUUUCUCAAUUGAAAUAUGACUUGUCAAGUAAGUGCUACUUAAUGGCCCACUUGGCUCAUGAAAGACGUCUCUGGUGAAAGUGAGCAAUAUUAUUAGUCAAUAUUAUGUUGAAAGAGAUCAAUCUUUGCAUUAAGUGUUUGAUUCAGCUCACCAAGCUACACAUGCUGUGGUAUGAUUAUUCUGGCUAUGGACAAUCUAAUGGAAAGAUAUAUAUUCUAUGUUCUUUUCCUCUAAAAGACUGAGCACAUGUCACUGUUUAAAAGUUUUUAGAAGUCCAAAAAAGAAUUUGAACUUUGUGCUUUUAAAUAGGGUAGGUAGAGUAUGAAUAUGCUAAUAAUUUUUAACAUUUCCCAAGUUCAUGCAUGAAAUGUUCUUACAAGCUAGUUGAUGAAUAUUCAAACAAAUUUUUAACAUAAUAGCUAUGGUAUUUAUUUAGUUUCAAAAUGAUUUGAUAAAAACAAAAUAUGAAACAUAAAAUACUGCACCAGACUAUUUUUCUCUAUGUUUCGUUUUUAUGCUCAUUUUCUAAGCAAGUUGGACUUACAAUGUCCUCUUCCUUGUUUGGCUUGGUUUGAACAUUUUUUAUCUGCUUAGUUUCUGCAUAUAACUAAGAGCAAACUAUUGAUUAUACGUGUAACAUAAUAUUUCCCAAUUAGCCAAGUGAGCAGGACACCUAUGCGGGCAUAGAGGCUGCGUAUAAAUGUCUCGAAGAAACAUAUGGUGUGAAAGAGGAAGACUAAUAGCUUGAAACUAAAUACUUUAGAGUGCUUAGUUUAUACUUUAAAGUACUAAAUACUUUAUUUUCUUUUUCCAUGUAUGACAGUACAAUUUACUAGUUGUUUGAUAGCAUGUACUCUACCAUCAUAUAUAAUUUGAUUUCUGUAUGAUAGUCUUGCUUUUUUCUGUUAUAAUUAUAUGAAACUAAAACUUACAUUUGGAUUUUUUUGGGUUAUAUGUAGUAAUUUAGUGGCCAACAACUUCACAAUAGAUAGUUCAAACAACAGGUAGUUUUCUGCACUCUGUCCUUGGUGCUUGAACCUUACAACUCUAGCAUGCAUAAGGAUGUUAUAGUUAAAGCAUUAUUUAUGAAACUUAAUGCUGCAAUGCACUCCAAAUGAUUUUAGUACAAAUUUCCUGCAUAUCAUGCAUAUGCCAAUCAUUUUCUUCUGAAUAUUGGAUUACUAAUUUACCUUUCUUCCAAUGGUCCUUUGUCUAUGCAUCCAGGGGAAAAGAGUUUUAGAGAAUUUCAACAUACGAGAGGAGGUAGGUGGAGUUGGCUUCUCAAGCUGUCCAAUGGGGUUUUAAGGCAUUUUUAUCAGAAAACUACCUCGAAAUCCAUCCUUUCAUACCUACAGUCAGUAACAAAUCUCCAAGCAAUGAGAACAGAACUGGUCUGAUAGUGGGCAUUGUUGUUCCUGUUGGAGUUUUAAGCUUUCUAUCUCUUUUGGUGGUUUUAUAUAUUGUCUCUAAAAGAAGAAAGAAAUCUCAAACAGAUGAUGAGGAAGGCUAGCCAUUAUCUUUGAUGCAUGUGCAUUUUGGUUGUCUGACUUCUUUAGUGUUGUUUGCUUAUGUUUGAAAUCUUAGUGCCACACGUACAUGUAAACCAAUAAAUAAAAUUGUCACAUAAUUAUGUGCUUAAGAGUUCAUACUUCUCCAGAAGCUCUAUGCUAAACGAAGAGGUAUUAAGUUAUGAUAGUGCUUAAUGUUUUCUUUGCAGAUUACUUGACCGGAUACUUGACCGACUAGAAGUUCGAAGACUUGAGCAGCCAAAUGAGUGACAAUGCAACCAUAGGAAGUAACACUAACUACAACAAUUCAUCUGGCAAGCAUGGUGGGAGAUGUAGAACAAUCUCCUGUCUAUGGAAGUACAAUGCUUAUGCUUAAAAACUUCAUUGAGGAGGGUAGAUGAAAAUUUGUUAGGAUGCUUGUGCUUGUGCAAGCUGACACUUUGAAGUGCAGAUUGAUUGAUCUGGAGGAAAUGCACCAUAUGAACCAUCUGGAUUGAAAUUGUUGUAACUCACUAGCUUUUAAAUUGUAACCUGGAUGUUUGUGCUAUGAACAAUUUACUAAAAGUUAAGUUCAAUAAAUAGUUGUUCAAUUUGUAUUCUUUUUA